AGAGUUUGAUCCUGGCUCAGGACGAACGCUGGCGGCAUGCUUAACACAUGCAAGUGGAGCGACGAACCUUUUAGGGGCAAAGCCGCGAACGGGUGAGUAACACGUGGGCAAUCUGCCCCGAUGACUGGAAUAACACGAGGAAACUCGUGCUAAUACCGGAUGUGCUUGCACCUCAUCAGAGGUGUCAGUAAAGGUAGCUUCGGCUAACCGCAUCGGGAGGAGCCUGCGCAGCAUUAGUUUGUUGGUGAGGUAACGGCUCACCAAGACUACGAUGCUUAGCUGGUCUGAGAGGACGAUCAGCCACACUGGAACUGAGACACGGUCCAGACUCCUACGGGAGGCAGCAGUGGGGAAUCUUGCACAAUGGGCGACAGCCUGAUGCAGCAAUGCCGCGUGAGGGAAGACGGCCUUCGGGUUGUAAACCUCUUUCAGUUGGGAUGAAGGUUGGACGGUGAAUAGCCGCGUCAACUGACCGUACCUUCAGAAGAAGCCCCGGCUAACUACGUGCCAGCAGCCGCGGUAAUACGUAGGGGGCAAGCGUUGUCCGGAAUCAUUGGGCGUAAAGCGCGUGUAGGCGGUUACGUAAGUCUGCUGUGAAAGUCGGAGGCUCAACCUUCGAAUGCCAGUGGAUACUGCGUGACUAGAGUUCGGAAGAGGCAAGUGGAAUUCCUGGUGUAGCGGUGAAAUGCGCAGAUAUCAGGAGGAACACCAACGGCGAAGGCAGCUUGCUGGUACGACACUGACGCUGAGACGCGAAAGCGUGGGGAGCAAACAGGAUUAGAUACCCUGGUAGUCC
Molecule: ribosomal RNA, 796 nt
Filed under: uncultured bacterium
Lineage: Bacteria
Description: bacterial SSU rRNA
Rfam family: Bacterial small subunit ribosomal RNA
Source: RNAcentral